RNAcentral lists this ribosomal RNA (492 nucleotides) under uncultured bacterium. RNAcentral's name for it is "partial 16S ribosomal RNA". It matches the Rfam family "Bacterial small subunit ribosomal RNA", at positions 29 to 507 of the family's 1533-position model. The record is from RNAcentral.
AGUGAACGCUGGCGGUAGGCCUAACACAUGCAAGUCGAACGGCAGCACAGUAAGAGCUUGCUCUUACGGGUGGCGAGUGGCGGACGGGUGAGGAAUACAUCGGAAUCUACUUUUUCGUGGGGGAUAACGUAGGGAAACUUACGCUAAUACCGCAUACGACCUACGGGUGAAAGCAGGGGAUCUUCGGACCUUGCGCGAUUGAAUGAGCCGAUGUCGGAUUAGCUAGUUGGCGGGGUAAAGGCCCACCAAGGCGACGAUCCGUAGCUGGUCUGAGAGGAUGGCGAGCCACACUGGAACGGAGACACGGCCCAGCCUCCGACGGGAGGCGCCAGUGGGGAAUAUGGGACAAUGGGCGCAGGCUUGCUCCAGCCAUCCCGGGGGGGGGAAAAAGGCCUUGGGUUUGUAAAGCCUUUUUGUGGGGAAAAAAAACCAGGAGUUUAAUCCCCCGCUUUUCUGACGGUCCCAAAAAAAAAAGCCCCGGCUACCUUCGUG